Molecule: long non-coding RNA, 235 nt
Filed under: Sorghum bicolor (sorghum)
Lineage: Eukaryota; Viridiplantae; Streptophyta; Magnoliopsida; Poales; Poaceae
Description: long non-coding RNA (SBIC_LNC016018)
Source: RNAcentral
UCCCGAGGCUAAAUUAAAGUAUUCUUGAUUUUUUUUGUCAUUCAGGCCAAAAAAGAAAUGUUGUAAAAACAUGAGUUCUGGUAAAGUAAGAUUAGGUGUAGAGUUUACAAAACUAUCAAAACGAUCCCAAGCCUUGCCCAGCGAUUCCAUAUCUAAUUAUUUGAAUCCUAUAAUUCCAAACCAAAGCUUAACGACCUUUUUCUACUGAGAAAAAUUUAAUGCAAAACUCUUUUCG